Molecule: small nucleolar RNA, 139 nt
Organism: Callithrix jacchus (white-tufted-ear marmoset)
Lineage: Eukaryota; Metazoa; Chordata; Mammalia; Primates; Cebidae
Source: Ensembl
CAGAUCCUGGGAUUGUGUCUGGAGAGUGCCUAGUAUUCUUCCACCUUCAGAAAGGGAGGGAAAGCAAGCCUAGCAGAGGCAUUUGUUCCAUUCCCAGCUUGUGCCGUAGUUGGCAAUUGGAAAACAUUCUGCAACAAUG